GGGCUUAAAGAGACAACGCCGGGGCUGCUGACACGCAAAGGCCCGCAGCUCCACCUGGCCUCGCGCGCACGCGGGACCCUCGCCCCCCACGCCCGCGCCCUUCCUUUCCCACGCUGGCUCCGCGCAGCUUUGCAAGAGGCUUAAAGAAAACAGGUUCUCUCUCCUCGCUGCGACGACCGUCGAGUCGUUUUGAAGCCAAGAAUGUCGCCCCCGCGCGCAUCUCUUCUGAAGAAAAAUUCACCGGUCUUCCUUAGGUUCCUGCCUGCUUCUCCUUCCGCUUUCAACAACCUUCUUGCUGAAGUGUUUUAAAAGGAGAAAAGCUCUUCAGGCAGACGUCACCAUGUUACCUGGCUGGGGAUAUAAAAGUCUUAAGAGCUUAAAA
Molecule: long non-coding RNA, 382 nt
Organism: Crotalus tigris (Tiger rattlesnake)
Lineage: Eukaryota; Metazoa; Chordata; Lepidosauria; Squamata; Viperidae
Exons: 3
Source: RefSeq, a predicted model, not a curated record